RNAcentral lists this ribosomal RNA (253 nucleotides) under uncultured prokaryote. Its description in RNAcentral is "partial 16S ribosomal RNA". It matches the Rfam family "Bacterial small subunit ribosomal RNA", at positions 525 to 777 of the family's 1533-position model. The record is from RNAcentral.
ACGAAGGUCCCGAGCGUUAUCCGGAUUUAUUGGGUUUAAAGGGUGCGUAGGUGGGCAGGUAAGUCAGCGGUGAAAUCCCCGAGCUUAACUUGGGAACUGCCAUUGAUACUAUCUGUCUUGAAUACCUUGGAGGUGAGCGGAAUAUGUCAUGUAGCGGUGAAAUGCUUAGAUAUGACAUAGAACACCAAUUGCGAAGGCAGCUCACUACACGGUCAUUGACACUGAGGCACGAAAGCGUGGGGAUCAAACAGGA